Molecule: ribosomal RNA, 397 nt
Filed under: uncultured bacterium
Lineage: Bacteria
Description: partial 16S ribosomal RNA
Rfam family: Bacterial small subunit ribosomal RNA
Source: RNAcentral
AUACGUAGGGGGCGAGCGUUGUCCGGAAUGAUUGGGCGUAAAGGGCGCGUAGGCGGCCCGGUAAGUCUGGAGUGAAAGUCCUGUUUUCAAGAUGGGAAUUGCUUUGGAUACUGAUGGGCUUGAGUGCAGGAGAGGUUAUCGGAAUUCCCGGUGUAGCGGUGAAAUGCGUAGAGAUCGGGAGGAACACCAGUGGCGAAGGCGGGUAACUGGACUGCAACUGACGCUGAGGCGCGAAAGUGUGGGGAGCAAACAGGAUUAGAUACCCUGGUAGUCCCCACUGUAAACGAGGAAUGCUAGGUGUAAGAGGUAUCGACCCCUUUUGUGCCGGAGUCAACACAAUAAGCAUUCCGCCUGGGGAGUACGGCCGCAAGGUUGAAACUCAAAGGAAUUGGCGGGG